RNAcentral lists this ribosomal RNA (497 nucleotides) under uncultured bacterium. Its description in RNAcentral is "partial 16S ribosomal RNA". It matches the Rfam family "Bacterial small subunit ribosomal RNA", at positions 28 to 507 of the family's 1533-position model. The record is from RNAcentral.
GAUGAACGCUGGCGGCGUGCCUAAUACAUGCAAGUCGAGCGAACAGACGAGGAGCUGGCUCCUCUGACGUUAUCGGCGGACGGGUGAGUAACACGUGGAUAACCUACCUAUAAGACUGGGAUAACUUCGGGAAACCGGAGCUACUACCGGAUAAUAUAUUGAACCGCAUUGUGCAAUAGUUAAAGACGGUUUUGCUGUCACUUAUAGAUGGAUCCGCGCCGAAUUAGCUAGUUGGUAAGGUAACUGCUUAACAAGGCAACGAUGCGUAGACGACCUGAGAGGGUGAUCCGACACACUGGAACUGAGACACGGUCCAGACUCCUACGGGAGGACGCAGUAGGGAAUCUUACGCAAUGGACGAAUGCGUGACGGAGCAACGUCGCCUGAGUGAUGAACGUCUUCUGAUCGUAAAACUAUGUUAUUAUGGAAGAACAAAUGUGUAAGUACCUAUGAACGUCUUGACGGUACCUAAUCAGAAAGCUCCGGCUAACUCCGUG